UACGUAGGGCGCAAGCGUUGUCCGGAAUUAUUGGGCGUAAAGAGCUCGUAGGCGGUUUGUCGCGUCUGCCGUGAAAACCCGAGGCUUAACCUCGGGCUGGCGGUGGAUACGGGCAGACUAGAGGUAGGUAGGGGGAGAAUGGAAUUCCCGGUGUAGCGGUGAAAUGCGCAGAUAUCGGGAGGAACACCGGUGGCGAAGGCGGUUCUCUGGGCCUUACCUGACGCUGAGGAGCGAAAGCGUGGGGAGCGAACAGG
This 254-nucleotide ribosomal RNA is filed under the name uncultured bacterium. RNAcentral's name for it is "partial 16S ribosomal RNA". It matches the Rfam family "Bacterial small subunit ribosomal RNA", at positions 524 to 776 of the family's 1533-position model. The record is from RNAcentral.